Molecule: non-coding RNA, 45 nt
Organism: Picea glauca (white spruce)
Lineage: Eukaryota; Viridiplantae; Streptophyta; Pinopsida; Pinales; Pinaceae
Source: Rfam
UACAUGGUCUUUUUUAAGACCAUACAAGGUAAUUUUUAGGUUGUA